GAGAAACCCCCCCCCUCGCACCCCCCGGCUGGGUUCGGGACGGCCACAGGGCAAUGGGGCAGGGCCGGGGUAGCUGCAGGGGGCUGCAGUGGGGCUCUGGGGUGUCUGCGGAGGGUCAGGGCAGCCCUGGAGGGGCUGCAGUGGGGUCCUGGGGUGUCUGCGGAGGGUCAGGGCAGCCCUGGAGGGGCUGCAGUGGGGUCCUGGGGUGUCUGCGGAGGGUCAGGGCAGCCCUGGAGGGGCUGCAGUGGGGUUUUUGGGGUGUCUGCGGAGGGUCAGGGCAGCCCUGGAGGGGCUGCAGUGGGGCUCUGGGGUGUCUGCGGAGGGUCAGGGCAGCCCUGGAGGGGCUGCAGUGGGGCUCUGGGGUGUCUGCGGAGGGUCAGGGCAGCCCUGGAGGGGCUGCAGUGGGGCUCUGGGGUGUCUGCGGAGGGUCAGGGCAGCCCUGGAAGGGCUGCAGUGGGGCUCUGGGGUGUCUGCGGAGGGUCAGGGCAGCCCUGGAGGGGCUGCAGUGGGGUUUUUGGGGUGCCUGUGAGGCCAGCGCACCCCCAGGGCAGCUUUAGUGGGGGUUGGGGGGGUGAAAGCCUUCGGGGGGCUCUGAUGAGGUUUGGAGGUGUUCAGGGGCCGGCCUGUCUUUAAGAGAGCUUCUGAGGCAUUUGGGGUGGCUCGGGGGUCUGCAGCCAGGUUUGGGGGUGCUCCGUAGCCAGCCAGGUUUGGGGGGGCUCCGCAGCCAGGUUUGGGGGGCUCCGUAGCCGCAGCCAGGUUUGGGGGGGCUCCGCAGCCAGGUUUGGGGGGCUCUGUAGUCACAGCCAGGUUUGGGGGUCCCUGCGCAGCCCCACAGCCCUGCCUCCCCCCAGCCGAGGGGGUUCCCGGGGGUCUUCUCUCGUGUCUCUUUUAAAGGCUAUUAACAGCCCUGCCGCCCCCCGUGGGGCGGCCCCGGGCCUGGAGGGGCCUUAGCGGGAGAGAGCGGCCCCCCAAGACCCCCCAAAUCCCGGGGACGCCCGGGGCCCCCCGCUCUCUCCCGUUAAGCUCCCCGGCCCCACCAGGUAAGUGGGGUGUGGUGGGGGGGCUCCCCUGACACCCCCAAAUCCCUCCCUGCCCCCAGGGAGACCCCCCAUCCCUGCCGCCCCCUGCCCGGGGCGGGGCUUUCCAGCACCCCCAAACCUGUCGGGGACCCCUGAAUCUGGGGGGGUUGGCGUAACGCCUUGCCCCACAGCGGGGGGUCUGGGGGGGCUGCCCCGCUCCCUCGUUUGGGGUUCGGGUCUCCCCGGGGCCGUUUGGGAUUUCUCCCUCCUCAGGGGGGGAUUUGGGGGUGCAAGGUCCCCGCCGGGUUGUUUGGGGGGUAAAUCCCCCCCAUGGGUUAUCUGGGCUGAGGGUUUGGGGGUGCUGAUCCCCCCCCAGGGGUUUUGGGGUGAAGAUUUGGGGGUGUCACCCCCCGGGAUUAGGGUUUUGGGGAUUCAAUCCCCCCCCAAGUUAUCUGGGGGUUAAUCCCCCCCAGUGUUAUUUUUUGGGGGUAUCAACCCCUGGGUUUAUUUGC
Molecule: non-coding RNA, 1531 nt
Organism: Phalacrocorax carbo (great cormorant)
Lineage: Eukaryota; Metazoa; Chordata; Aves; Suliformes; Phalacrocoracidae
Source: RefSeq, a predicted model, not a curated record